GUGCUUGUUUUGAAAGCACAUAUGCUAAAAUUGGAAUGAUACAAAGAUUAGCAUGGCCACUGUGCAAGUAUAAUAUACAAAGUCAUGAAGAGUUUCAUAUUUUU
Molecule: small nuclear RNA, 104 nt
Organism: Suncus etruscus (white-toothed pygmy shrew)
Lineage: Eukaryota; Metazoa; Chordata; Mammalia; Eulipotyphla; Soricidae
Source: RefSeq, a predicted model, not a curated record